This 238-nucleotide ribosomal RNA is filed under the name uncultured bacterium. RNAcentral describes it as "partial 16S ribosomal RNA". It matches the Rfam family "Bacterial small subunit ribosomal RNA", at positions 15 to 264 of the family's 1533-position model. The record is from RNAcentral.
GAUCUGGCUCAGAACGAACGCUGGCGGCAGGCUUAACACAUGCAAGUUGAACGGGAUUUGUGUGGUGCUUGCACCAUAUAAUGAGAGUAGCGCACUGGUGAGUAACACGUGGGAACGUGCCUUUUAGUGGGGGAUAACACCUGGAAACGGAUGCUAAUACCGCAUACGCCCUGAGGGGGAAAGGAUUUAUUGCUAAGAGGUCGGCCCGCGGUAGAUUAGGCAGUUGGUGGGUAAGGAC